RNAcentral lists this ribosomal RNA (253 nucleotides) under uncultured bacterium. Its description in RNAcentral is "partial 16S ribosomal RNA". It matches the Rfam family "Bacterial small subunit ribosomal RNA", at positions 524 to 776 of the family's 1533-position model. The record is from RNAcentral.
UACGUAGGGGGCAAGCGUUGUCCGGAUUUAUUGGGCGUAAAGAGCGUGUAGGCGGCUAGAUAGGUCCGUUGUGAAAACUCGAGGCUCAACCUCGAGACGCCGAUGGAAACCAUCUAGCUAGAGUCCGGAAGAGGAGAGUGGAAUUCCUGGUGUAGCGGUGAAAUGCGCAGAUAUCAGGAAGAACACCCGUGGCGAAGGCGGCUCGCUAGUACGGUACUGACGCUGAGACGCGAAAGCGUGGGGAGCGAACAGG